Serinus canaria (Common canary) is the source of this 1546-nucleotide long non-coding RNA. RefSeq lists it as uncharacterized. The record is from RefSeq and is a predicted model, not a curated record. NCBI's taxonomy places the organism in Eukaryota, Metazoa, Chordata, Aves, Passeriformes, Fringillidae. The transcript is spliced from 6 exons.
UCGUGGUUUGAAAGGAAAUGAAGUUUUUGUGAUGGUGUGGGCAAUCCAAUCAGUGUUCAGAUUUAAUAUUGGCACCUGGUUUGUCCACUGAGGGCAGGAUACGCCUCUGAGAACACAGGGGUUAAAAGCUGUGAUCUCCCAGGGGAACUUCCUCUUGGAGUCCCGCUGGAGAGUGAGUAGACCCCCCCCCUGCUCGGCCCCUUUGGAUGGGCAGGGGGGGAGGGGAGCCAUGUGGCCAGAGAGAGAGAGGCAUACAAGGAGGUGGGUAAAACCCAAGCAACCCAUAUUAUCAACAAGGAGAUUAUUAUAUAGAUUAAAAGAAAAGCAUUCUGGCCUGUUCACUGGUUCUUCAAAACUUGAUUAAAAGUAUUCAGAAGAAGAAUUUACCAUACAUUUUAAUGAGACAAGGCUGAAGCAGUAUGGAAUUUUUGGAAAGCAAACCUAUUUCUACUGGUAACCUCCAAGACGUGUCUUUUAGGCUAUUUAAUUUGUGUGGUUUAUUCAACUUUGGACCACCACAGCCUACAUCAUGGCAUUGAUUUUGGAAGCUGUGAACAAACCGUGUUCAUGAAUCAGCUUCCUCAGCAAUAAUGCACACAAAAUAACACUUGCAUUAAAAAGACAGAAAAGAAGAUAUCUCAAGCUGUUGAGAUCCAAUCCUACUUUUGCUGACUGUAAAGUCUUCGACCUUCUCAAGAGUCAAUUGGACUUGACAGAGUACAAGUAUGAAACAGAUUUAUAUUUGAGAUAUUAAAUUCUCUUUGUAAGGACUCCUAAUAUACAAAUUUCACAAGUGGACCUGCGUUACAGGGGAGACUGUUACAGCACUGAUGGUAGUCUGAGCAGCUGCAAGUACAUGGGUUAUUAUUUUUUUUUUGUAACACACCAGUAAAAAUAGAUGACUUUGAUGACCUUGGACCUAAAAUAUCUGCAUUUCUAAUUUGCUGAUUCCUAUAAUAAUCUAAUAAAGCAAGACUGGCCAUCUUUUUCUUCAUAUUAAUUUUUGUGGGUGUGUAUUUAGCUAUUUUUCCAGGUGUUUCCUAGGUUACUGUGUUUUCCACAGUAGUCUCUGGUUUCUGCAGAACUUCUGUGUUGCUUGGACAACUGUCAUGUCAUGCCCAAGCAGACUUUAUAAUAUGACUUCAAAAGAUUAUUUAUAGGAAUCUCUUAAAGGUUUAAAAUUUCCUAUGGUUGCUCUUAUUGUAAGAAUGUAGGCAGUUCUUAAGAAAUGUAUUUUAGAUAAUUAUUACUAGUCAAAACUACCACACUGUUAAAUAAGUCUAUCUCUAUUAUACAUUUGAAUUUACUGAGGUGAACCAAAUACUCAUCUAUACUCUGUGCUGCAAAAAAAACCCCUUAACAUUCCAAAACCUGCAUUUUCAUUCCAAAACAUGAGACUUCUUUAUCCAUAUGGCUUCAAAAUUUAUAUUUGAAUUUAUGAAUCAGACGUGUUUUACGCAACACUCUUGUUCUUUUUACAUCCUUUUGCUGAAGAGGUUUUCUUUGCAAUUUUAUUUUUCUUUAUAUAAACAUGAAUUAGAGGUGA